GUCCAGUCAGACUAACAGCGGAUCACGCUCCACAGACUCUGUACACUCUACUCAGUACAGAAAAGAGAUUCUGCUGGAUAUAUAUGUGUGAAUAUAUACAUGAGUGACGUGAUUGACAGCCCUAAACAAACUGAGGAAAAAGUCACUAUGCCUCUGUGCUGUGAGCUCAAUGAAGGCAGUCUGAGACAUACUAGGUCUAGAGAUCAGCAGAGUUUCCAGCUCAAUCUCCGCCCACAAACCCGCCUACAGCAAAUCAGCAACGUCUAUC
This 268-nucleotide long non-coding RNA is filed under the name Astyanax mexicanus (Mexican tetra). Its description in RNAcentral is "lncRNA (ENSAMXG00005001252.1)". The record is from RNAcentral. Lineage: Eukaryota; Metazoa; Chordata; Actinopteri; Characiformes; Acestrorhamphidae.